AUAUCUCUCCGUACGGGAAGGAUGAGAAGCUUCGACCAGAGUUCGAUUCGAGCGCAGCGAGAAAGCGUUGCCGCAGGCAACGACCCGAAGGGCGAAGCGCGCAGCGCUGAGUCAUCCUUCCCCCACCACCA
RNAcentral lists this small RNA (131 nucleotides) under Salmonella enterica. RNAcentral describes it as "RtT sRNA". It matches the Rfam family "RtT RNA". Rfam says of the family: This family represents a bacterial cis-regulatory element known as RtT RNA. Lineage: Bacteria; Pseudomonadati; Pseudomonadota; Gammaproteobacteria; Enterobacterales; Enterobacteriaceae. The record is from RNAcentral. RNAcentral also lists the same sequence under 3 other names.